RNA transcript from Mandrillus leucophaeus (drill), 1474 nucleotides. It is a transcript of the gene named heat shock protein HSP 90-beta-like, with no coding region annotated. The transcript is spliced from 4 exons. The record is from RefSeq and is a predicted model, not a curated record. Lineage: Eukaryota; Metazoa; Chordata; Mammalia; Primates; Cercopithecidae.
AUGCCUGAGAAAGUGCACGUGAAGAGGAAGAGGUGGAAACUUGCCUUUCAGGGAGAUAUUGCCCAACUCAUGUCUCUCGUCAUCAAUACUUUCUAUUCUAAUGAGGAGAUUUUCCUUCAGGAAUUGAUCUAAUGUUUAUGAUGCAUUGGACAAGAUUUGCUGUGAGAGCCUUACAAACCCUUCCAAGUUGGACAAUGGUAAAGAGCUGCAAAUUGAUAUCUCCAUGUUUGGGCAAUUUGGUGCUGCCUUUUUUUCUGCCUACCUUGUGGCAGAGAAAGUAGUUGUGAUCACAAGGCACAACAAUGAUGAAGAGUAUGCCUGGGAGUCUCCACUGGGGGUUCCUUCACUGUAUGUGCUGACCAUGGAGAGCCCAUUGGCAGGGAUACCAAAGUGACCCUCCGCCUUAAAGAAGACCAGACAGAGUACUUAGAAGAGAGGAAGGUCAAAGAAGUAGUGAAGAGCACUUCCAGUUCAUAGGCUAUCCCAUUACCCUUUCUUUGGAGAAGGAAAGAGAGAAGAAAAUCAGUGAUGACAGGCAGAGGAAGAGAAAGGUGAGAAAGAAGAGGAAGAUAGAGAUGAUGAGAAAAAGUCCAAGAUUGAAGAUGUGGGUUCAGAUGAAGAAGAUGAGAACAGUAAGGAUAAGAAAAAGAAAACCAACAAGAUCAAGGAGAAAUCAUUGAUUGGGAAGAAUUAAACAAGACCAAGAACAUUUGGAUCAGAAAUUCUGAUGACAUUCACCCAGGAGGAGUAUAGAGAAUUCUACAAGAGCUUCACCAGUGACUAGGAGGACCAUUGGGCAGUCAAGCAUUUCUUUGUGGAAGGUUGGUUGGAAUUCAGAGCAUUGCUAUUCAUCCCUUGUUUGGAUCCUUUUGACUUCUUUGAGAAUUAGAAGAAAAAAGAACAACAAACUCUGUGUCCAUCAUGUGUUCAUCAUGGACAGCUGUGAUGAUAUUGGAGUAUCUCAACUUUAAUCCUUGGUGUGGUUGACUUAGGAUCUGCCCCUGAACAUCUCUCAAGAAAUGCUCCAACAGAGCAGAAUCUUAACAGUCAUUCACAAAAACAUUGUUAAGAAGUGCCUUGAGCUGUUCUCUGAGCUGGCAGAAGACAGGGAGAAUGGCAAGAAAUUCAAUGAGGCCUUAUCUAAAAAUCUAAAGCUUGGAAUCCAUAAAAACUCCACUAGCCAGCGACACGUGUCCUAGCUGCUGCAGUAUCACACCAGUCUGGAGAUGAGAUGACGUCUGUGUCAAAAUAUGUCUCCUGCGUGAAAGAGACACAGAAAUCCAUCUAUCGCGUCACUGGUCAGAGCAAAGAGCAGGUGGCCGGCUCUGUGUUUGUGCAGCAAGUGCAGAAGCGGGCCUUUGAAUUAGUAUAUACAGCCAAGCCCGCUGAUGAGUACUACAUGCAGUAGCUCAGGGAGUUUCAUGGGAAAAGCCUGGUCUCAGUUACCGAGGAGAGUCUGGAGCUGCUUGAGUGA